This 1436-nucleotide long non-coding RNA is filed under the name Pogona vitticeps (central bearded dragon). Its description in RNAcentral is "lncRNA (ENSPVIG00000006786.1)". Lineage: Eukaryota; Metazoa; Chordata; Lepidosauria; Squamata; Agamidae. The record is from RNAcentral.
AAAGAAAAAAACCCUAAGGCAGCUAGCAAAAAGGGCAGUGUCUGUUGUCUCUUUGACAGUUAUUGUGAUGCAAGUGAAGUCAACUCUGCCUUUAUGAUGUACUCCUUGCUGCAGGUGAUUAAUUCCCUAGUUACCAACACCUGUUGUGAUUGCUCCAGUUUGUCUCCCAGUAACUGUGAGUUUGCCUUGGCAGGUGAUUCACUGACAGGUUUAUUAACCAAGAGUUCCAAGAUAGACUUCUGGGCUGGAAGAAUUUAUGCACCAAGCCAGCAGAAGACAACCCUCAGUGGUUUCCCAAUACAGUCACCUUUCUUAUUUCUGGAUUUGAAAUACAAGUCCUUAGUUCUAGUUGUCCACACUCCCAACAAAUGCCAUUUCCUGUGGCAACAGAUGGGGUUUUGUUCUUGAUCAUCCAUAACAUCCUCAGUUCAGGCACAGUAUCAAGAAAUUCUCAACAAAAUCUCCUAGACUGUUGUGUUGGUCCAUUAUGCUGUGGUUUGUAAAUGCCAAGAAGAGAAAUGAUAGUAAGAAGACCAGCAUCAAAACAAAACUAAAUGUGUAUACCACAAAAGGGUUGGAAGCUUGUGGGAAAUACUGGAAAAAAAUUACACUGUAUACCAUGUUCAUCAGAGGAAAAGGAGUUUCCUCACUUAGACAUACCCUAACAGGACACUGAAUGAUAAAAGUAUUAAAUGCUAAUGUAACAUAACCCGAGCUGGACUGGGUGGGUGAGGAAUUUAUGGGAUUACAUAUCCAAAAAUCCCACAACCAAGUUGAAUGCUGAACUUUUCCCCCCUUUGGUGUUUUGCUUUGCUUUGGCCACCUGACCCUUUUCCAUUGCCCCCAUUGCCUCCACUUACCUGUUGCUGAAGCCACUGCCUCCACCAUUGGUGUCUCUGCCAUCUUGGUUGCUAUUCUCAGAGGCAGCAAGCCCAGCUUUCCUGCCAGGAGCUGGCCAUUGCCCCUGAGCAUGUGCCUGCCUAUCAGAUGGGCGGCGGGUGCAUGCCCAGAGGCCACACCUGGAUUCCUUGUGAGGAGCCUGCCGCUGCCUCUGACCAUGCAGAGGCAGUGGGAGGAGAGGUGGAGGUGGAGGUGGCAGCAGCAAGUAGAGCCCCAUCCAGACACGAACUGGGAUGAACCAGUUCAUUUUCCAGAGGUUCAUGGUGGUUAGCUAUGAGCCAUGAACCACCAGUUUUCCACUUCAUGCCUAUCUCCAGUGACAACAAAUUCGUGCCACUAAUUUCAUGUAAAUCUGGUGAAAAAAACCUCUUUGAUUAAUUUGAUCGUAAAGCCAAUUUGCUCUGCAUAUUAUACUUAAAUCAGACUUCAGAUAAAAACCAGGAGCCAUCUUAAAAAAAAAGAAAAAAACAUUUUCCAAGGGAAAAUAACAGGUUCUUUCGUUUAAUAAAAUAUAUUAGAGAAAGAAAUUUACUACA